This 305-nucleotide ribosomal RNA is filed under the name uncultured bacterium. RNAcentral's name for it is "bacterial SSU rRNA". It matches the Rfam family "Bacterial small subunit ribosomal RNA", at positions 332 to 654 of the family's 1533-position model. The record is from RNAcentral.
UCGACCCUACGGGGGGCAGCAGUCGGGAAUAUUGCGCAAUGGAGGAAACUCUGACGCAGUGACGCCGCGUAUAGGAAGAAGGUUUUCGGAUUGUAAACUAUUGUCGUUAGGGAAGAUAAAAGACUGUACCUAAGGAGGAAGCCCCGGCUAACUAUGUGCCAGCAGCCGCGGUAAUACGUAGGGUGCAAGCGUUAUCCGGAUUUAUUGGGCGUAAAGGGCUCGUAGGCGGUUCGUCGCGUCCGGUGUGAAAGUCCAUCGCUUAACGGUGGAUCCGCGCCGGGGACGGGCGGGCUUGAGUGCGGUAG